RNAcentral lists this long non-coding RNA (1040 nucleotides) under Sus scrofa (pig). RNAcentral's name for it is "lncRNA (ENSSSCG00025026989.1)". Lineage: Eukaryota; Metazoa; Chordata; Mammalia; Artiodactyla; Suidae. The record is from RNAcentral.
CAGGCUGAGAAAAUACAUUCUGCGGUUUAGAGCCACCUGGUCUAUGGCAUUUAUUAUGGCAGCCCAAAUGGAGUUAAGCCCUUUCUGCAAGCUUAUACUGCUCUAACACAGCAACAGUUACACUGGAUUUGAAUAGUAUGCUUGUUUAUGUUCUCCCGCACACUAUGAGCCACUUUACGGGCAAGGACUCUAUCUUUUUUUCUCUGAACACUCCCGUGUUUAUAAAUGUUCCAUAGACUUCUGCUGGGUGACAAAUGAAUUCAACCCCUUCCUUCCAGCCUAACUAGACGCCACUGGGUGAGGAGGCCAGGAGUGCGUCACACAACCCAGAGGGAGACACCUGUGCUCCUUGAGUUGUUCUCAAGACUUCGUUCUCCUUCCAGCUGGAGCAUCUUCUCACUCGGACAUCCCUUGGAACGACCUGUUUGUGAGCUGCCUCAAUGGAUCACUGAUGGAGGAAAACCACUUCCCAUUUUUUCUUUGUGCUUCUAAUACCUAGAAUAGUAUCUGGCACAUAGAAGGCGCUUAAUGUUUAGACUGAAUUGAAUUAUUGCCAUAUUACUGACUUGGGGCAUCAUUGCCAAAGCACUCCUCGCUUUGAGGAAAUUCUUACUAAUGUUCUAACUACCAGCUGGCAGAGAGCCAUUCAUUUCUCUAUUAUUCAGUUUGAAGACCUGGUAUGUGCACUGGAUGCUGGCUUUGCAGUGAUGAACAAAACCACAGGAACUUUGGCCCAUGAAACUUAGAGUCUAGUUUAUCUAAAAGGUAUUUAGUAAAAUUUAGUAGGUGAUAUAAUGAUAUAUGAUAAUUGCCUUCAAAUUAUAUAAAGAGCUGUCUCACAAGAGAGGCUAAACUGAAACGUAGAGGACAGAUCUGAGUUCCACGAAUGGCAGUUACCAGGACACAUUUCAACUUGGGUGAAAUAAGGGCAUUUUAGUACCAGGGUUGUUGAUCCCCGNCAACUCAGGAUCCAAGCUAUGUCUGCAGCCUACACCACAGCUCACAGCAAUGCUGGAUCCUUAACUCACUGAGCGAGGCCA